RNAcentral lists this long non-coding RNA (1235 nucleotides) under Physcomitrium patens. Its description in RNAcentral is "long non-coding RNA (PPAT_LNC001514)". The record is from RNAcentral. Lineage: Eukaryota; Viridiplantae; Streptophyta; Bryopsida; Funariales; Funariaceae.
AACUAUGCUUAUUAUAUGAAUGUGUAUACAAAUUGAGUUCUUUAUCUUUUAAAAAGAUGGAUACUUUUGUGGUAGUUCUCAGUGUACAAUUUUUUUUUUUUUUUUUUUUUCCUUCUAUUGUUUUUUUUAUUUAUUUAUUUUGAAUGUGUGAUAUGUAGUAAAUUCUACCAAGGGGUAGCACUAUAUAUAUAUUUCCUGAGUAUGAAAUAGACACAAAAGUGAAAUGAAUUAAACCAUUUAGAAGUAAUUUUUACAAUAAUUGGAAAUGGAAAAGUAUAGUGCAAAAAAAUUGUAUUUUCAAAUAGAAUCUAUGACGCACACAUUAACAAAUCACACCAAUUUCACAUGAUGAAUAUAAAAUAAAACAAAAUGACUAAUAUUAGAAUGCAUGAAAAAGUCAUCUACACACCAGAAAUUGUCUACAUACAUAUUAACAAUCAAUAACACCACCCAAACACAGAUCACAACUUCAAAGUGCAAGAAUGUGAAAGAUGGAUUUAUGUAAAUGCAUCACAACAGAAAGAAAGCAGCAUGACAUGCAGGCGCCAAGAGAAGCCACGUGUAGGGUCUGAUGGGUGUGGAGACAUUGAAGCCCGCGAUGGACAGAAUAGGAAGGAUGAAGACGAAAAAGACGAAUGAAGAUGAAGGAAGAGGAGGCGUGGGAGCACCUGACACAGCCAGUUGACGCAGGAGCCGGCGAUGCCGCAUAGUCGCACGACAACGAGCGCGACUCCAACCUGGAAGUCAGCGCGGAGGUGGGGACCAGCGGAUUUAACGAGAGAGAGAGAGAGUGAGUGAGCGAGUGAGAGUGAGAGUGAGAGAGAACGAGAGUGGGCGAGAGAGGGAGGAGGGAAGAGAGCGGUGAGCGAGUGCGGCAAGGGCGAAGUGGGUGGGGCAAGGCAAAGCGGCAACAAAAAACCAAAGGCGCAACGAAAAACAAGUGAGUGAGAACUACCAGUGGAGCAUUCAGCACUCGUCUUUAGACUAGCAGCCAGGCGCAUGGCAAUGCCGGGGUGGGCUGGUUAGCGGAAGGAAGGAAGGAAGGAAGGAAGGAAGGAAAGGAGCAAACAACCAGCCAAAGCCCCCCCCUGCUCCCCCUCCCCCUCUCCUUCCCCCCGCUGGGGUUUCAUGUCCCGCCAUGGAAACUAGUGCUCAGCACCCCCAAAACGGAUGCCAAGCUGCCCCGCGCUAACUCCACGUUCCCUCAUACCUUCCCUUUCCUGAAAUCCCCAUCA